This 1753-nucleotide ribosomal RNA is filed under the name metagenome. Its description in RNAcentral is "bacterial LSU rRNA". It matches the Rfam family "Bacterial large subunit ribosomal RNA", at positions 1293 to 2925 of the family's 2925-position model. The record is from RNAcentral.
AAUGCAGACAUGAGUAGCGAGAGACGGGUGAAGAUCCCGUCCGCUGGAUGACCAAGGGUUCCAGGGCCACGUUCAUCGUCCCUGGGUGAGUCGGGUCCUAAGGCGAGGCCGACAGGCGUAGUCGAAUGGAUGAACGGGUCGAUAUUCCCGUACCGGCUUUCAGCCGCCAAAACCGAGGCUUGGAGUACUAACCUCCGGGUCCGGGCUUACUGCUCCUUCGGGGGCGGGAUGCCCUGGCCUGUUGGGACCGAUCCUUGUAGUAGGUCAGCGCAGGAGUGACGCAGAAGGGUAGCCGGCCGCGGAGGUGGUCUUCCGUGGUCAAGCACGCAGGGCGUGGGACAGGCAAAUCCGUCCCGCAUGGGUCCGAGGUGCGAUGAUGGGGGCCUUAUGGCCCGAUAUCCGGUGAUCCCGGCUGCCGAGAAAAGCUUCGGCGUCAGGCUCAAAGCCGCCCGUACCCCAAACCGACACUGGUGGUCAGGUAGAGAAUACCAAAGCGAUCGAGCGAAUCCUGGUCAAGGAACUCGGCAAAUCACUCCCGUUCCUUCGGUUUAAGGGAGACCCCCGAUGGUGAACACACUUGCUGUGGGAGCUUUUGGGGGUGGCACAGACCAGGGGGUAGCGACUGUUUACCAAAAACACAGGUGCAUGCGAAGGCGCAAGCCGCUGUAUAUGCACUGACGCCUGCCCGGUGCCGGAAGGUUAAGAGGAUCCGUCAGCCUUCGGGUGAAGCGGUGAAUUCAAGCCCCGGUAAACGGCGGUGGUAACUAUAACCAUCCUAAGGUAGCGAAAUUCCUUGUCGGGUAAGUUCCGACCUGCACGAAUGGCGUAACGACUUCCCCACUGUCUCGACCAGGAGCUCGGCGAAAUUGCAGUACGAGUAAAGAUGCUCGUUAAGCGCAGAAGGACGAAAAGACCCCGGGACCUUUACUAUACCUUGGUAUUGGCAUUCGGUGUGGAUUGUGUAGCAUAGGCGGGAGGCCGAGAGGCGCGGUCGCCAGAUCGCGCGGAGCCGUAAGGUGAAAUACCGCUCUGUUCGCAUUGGAUGUCUAACCUCGAACAGUCAUCCUGUUCAGGGACAGUGCCUGGCGGGUAGUUUAACUGGGGCGGUUGCCUCCCAAAGAGUAACGGAGGCGCCCAAAGGUCCGCUCAGCCCGGUUGGCAAUCGGGUGGCGAGUGCAAGUGCACAAGCGGGCUUGACUGCGAGGACGACGGUCCGAGCAGGGACGAAAGUCGGGACUAGUGAUCCGGUGCCGGUGUACGGACGCGGCAUCGCUCAACGGAUAAAAGGUACCCCGGGGAUAACAGGCUGAUCAUUCCCAAGAGUCCAUAUCGACGGGAUGGUUUGGCACCUCGAUGUCGGCUCGUCGCAUCCUGGGGCUGGAGCAGGUCCCAAGGGUUCGGCUGUUCGCCGAUUAAAGCGGCACGCGAGCUGGGUUCAGAACGUCGUGAGACAGUUUGGUCUCUAUCCUCUGCGCUCGUUGGAAUGCUGAGGAGGCCUGCCCAUAGUACGAGAGGACCUGGGUGGACGAACCUCUGGUAUGCCGGUUGUCACGCCAGUGGCACGGCCGGUUGGCUACGUUCGGAAGGGAUAACCGCUGAAAGCAUCUAAGCGGGAAGCCUGCUCCAAGAUAAGCAUUCCGUGGAACCUUCGAGUUCCUGUAGUCCCCAUGCAGAACACGUGGUCGAUAGGCCGGACGUGGAAGCCCCGCGAGGGGUGGAGCCGACCGGUACUAACGGACGAAAGGCAACACUA